Triticum aestivum (bread wheat) is the source of this 3221-nucleotide long non-coding RNA. RefSeq lists it as uncharacterized. The record is from RefSeq and is a predicted model, not a curated record. The transcript has 6 exons. NCBI's taxonomy places the organism in Eukaryota, Viridiplantae, Streptophyta, Magnoliopsida, Poales, Poaceae.
UAAAGUAAAACAACCAAACCUACCCUCGGCCUCCUCCCCUGCUCUGCCAUCGCCCGCAGAAGCCCACCCAAGCCCUCGCUCGCUCGCCGAGAUUCAUGGCGACCGAUGCGGCUGGGAGCGAACGCGCACGGGUGGGGGAGUUCGGCGAGCUCUUGCGGACCUGCUGGCCAUCGUGUGAGCCAGCAACCGCCGCUGCCGCCAGCAGCAGAAGCAGGGGGCGCGGGCGGAGAUCCCUUCGUGGGGCCGGCAUCGGCCGAGGAAGACCCCGAUGGCGCUGCCGGAUGAGAAGCCCGCGGCCGAUGAUGAUAGGAGCGAGGGCAUCGCCAGCCCGGACACCCCGCUCGCCUUCCCCGAGGACGACGAGCAUGACGAGGCGGCGGCGGCAAAGGAUGAGGCCAAGGCCAGCGCACAAGACAAGUGGUCGAGGUGGAGCUAUAGGCCAUCAAGGUUGCCUAUGUCGUGGGAUGAGGAAGAGGAUGGCGAAUGGGAGACACCGAAGAUUGACAACACUACUCCCCAAGUGUGAAGAGGCACCUGGUUGUGGUGAAUGGAAGAGGCCGAUGAAGCAGAAUCCGUCCAACAAAGAGAAGUGGCAUGCGCCCCUGAUUGACAAACCCAGAUGUUCUAAUGUAUCAAACGAUGCCAUGAUAGUUGGCAAUCAUGCUUCAAGUAUGAAAUCAGCUCAACCAUCUCCAAUAGUCUUCUUUCUUGCUAUCCAGGUCUUAAAAGAGCAGAAAAUCUUUGAACAAGGGGUGGAUGGGAGUACACAGUUUGGUCCCCUGUGCAGAAUAAAACAGUUUUAUGAUACAUAAGCUACAAUUUUCAGAACUGAAACACAGGAUUGCGCUGCCUUGCCCUGCCCGAUCGACGCCGGCUACAUCGCUACACUCCCCAUGGCCAGGUAAGCGCCUAGGCCAAGUAACAAGUUAUCACAUCUUCGUGAUCCAAUUAAAUGUGCCAAUGGACAAGUACGUACCAUCCUACAGAUAUUGUUGUCAUUGUUCUUCUAUUGUCAGUACGACAAAAAAAUUAGAAUUCAUCCAGUCCACGCCCUCCUCCUUAGUGCACGAUGGUGAUGUGUGUGUGUGUUGUGGUCAGCUUGCAGUGCCAGAUAGUUCACAGUCCCAACUCCAGUGUUAACUCUGUUAGUCUGUUGCACCUCUUGUAUUUCAAAUUUAGUUGGAACUGUAGAUUUGAGUUUACCAUUUUUGUAGAUGCCACGGGAAUUCAGAGAAUCCUAGAAACUUCUAUGUGGUGCAAACAAGUUUUAGUAGUAAGCUAUAGGUUUUUCAUAUAGGUUUUCCCCUACAAAAUAUUUACUUAGGUUAAGAGGUUGUAUGAUUGGAUUCAGCCUGGAAACUUUUGUGCAGGACCAUAGCUUCACCCCAAAUUGCUCUAUUAUGCUCGGCUCCAUGUAUUCACCCUUUCUAAUAUAUAGCUAAAUUUAAAUGCUUCUAUCAUCAUUUUGCCAAUGUUACUCUCCAUUACUUUAUGCACAAAUUAGCUCAUAGCUGUAUUUACGAGUUCUAGGAUGCUAGAUUUUUUUUCUGUUGACAAUCUUGUUUAUUUUUUGUUCAUUUAGCUAUCAUGUUUUUUAUUUGCGAUAGAAUACUGAAAGAGUUUGUUCACUCCAUGAUGAUUUAAAUAGGAAAAAUCUUGUCAUUAUGCCCUCCAACAUUAGCAACAUAUAACCCUUGUUCUGGUUUAUUUUCAAGAUGGUAAGCUACGCACGCUCUUGCUGUUCGCAGGAUUGCAUUCACCAAUCUAAUGCCCUCAUUGUUGGUUUUGGCCAGCUAUCUGAGCUAAUGCAGAAGCAUGAUAUGUUGCCAAUCCUUGUGUCCUUUGCAUCUUCAUGCUCAUCGCAAGUAGUUAGUCUCCUAUUUUAUGGUAAUAUUCUGAUCUUUUUAUGUGAUUUCAGAUGCUAUAUAAGGAACGUGCGUAGGCUGAGGAUUCUAAGCUAGCCACCUUGUUUUCCUCACAUGGGGAUAUUGAUGUAUGAUGCGGGAGAUAGAAGUCUUGUCCAUGGCCUUUUGAUUGAUGCAAAAUUUAUUCGAUGUUGUAGUAGGGACAUGCCUGAUUCACGCAAUUCCAAUGACUACUUUUUGAAAGUUAUGUUUCUGUAAUAUUUGAGCUUAUGUCUACACUUAAAUGAAGAGCAUCAGAUAUUUGUAAACCAUUAUUUUGCUUAGAAAGGUUCCUACAUAAAAAGAAUCCACUUAAGAAAGCAGAGUCGUUCGUGUGCUUCAUAUAAGCUAUAUACAUGCCAUCUCACCAAGCACUAUUAACAUGUUCUUUUUUCAAGAGAGCAUAUAUGUUUCUUCUUUUGUCACCAUGUCUUCACGAGCAGCCGUAACCCACACGCUCCUCAUUUCCUAGUUCUGCAGAUCAAGCACUAUCAAAGUUUAUUCUAAUUAUAUCAACGACCUCCAUGAUGAAAGCUUUAGCCAUUUGUAAUUAAUCUGGAGUACUUUACUGUUGGAUAUGAAGUUGCUUUGCUAUAAAUACCUCACAUUCAUUAUUUUAGAUGGUGCAGACUUUGCAAGUGUUCAAAGAAAUGAUGUGCUAUUCAAGGGGUUUGGGAGCACUAAUAAAGAAUCUCUUGCGGAACUUUUUGUACCGCUAAUGAGUCAAGUCGUCCCUCUGCAUCCCGAACUCCAAAAUGAGCAAGUCAGAGACUAACUCUAUAAAGGACAGCCUGGGAUGAAUGGUGUACUUUUGCAGCUCUAAAACAAAUGAGAAGGGAAAUUCAAGAAAUCAAGGGGAGUUGUGGACUGGGUGGAGAUGACAAGAGGGCUGCACGAGUUAAGUAAGUGGCAGCAGAGGUUACUGAAUGCCGCAAAGCAUCGUGGAAUAAGUGGACAAGCAAGCAGUUUCUACCAGCUUUAACUGCUCAUAGCUGAGAGAGGAUAUCUUCUCUAGAGGAUUUGCUAAUAUAGUACACCACAGCUUAGCUACAGCAACUGUGUCACCCACUGGAGGUUGACAACCCCGACCUAAAUUGGCAGUGGGGCACAGAACACUGGGCUAGUGUGCUGACUGAUCCCGUUUGCCACUAUAGAGAUGUUUCCAGCAAUGGUAUGUCUACCAGAACCAAUCGCAAUGGGUUAACAUGGAUGGAGGAAGAAAAGGUUCACUGAAUAGGGUGUAACUCUUUUAAAGAGCCAGCAUGUCGUCCAUGCUCAACUGUCAGAACUCACAAAGUUAACUCAUUGUUUACAGUA